AAAGGACGUGAAAAAAUUAAAUUAAUCAAUCUAAGGCAACAUAUGAAUGCACAUUUUUUAAAAUUCUCAUGGCUACUUCGUUUAAUAAAAUGCAAGCAUGAAUGGACGAGCUCAUCACAAAUUAGUAACAACAGUCUAUUUGAAUUCUCCUGCCCUUCAAUAGUUUUUUCACACAUUAUCACACAUGUCUUUAAAUUCACAAAAAUAGAGAAAUCUAACAUAAAUUUAACAGAAGAUGUGUAUAACCAAUACCAUAACAUUGCAAGUUGUUCAGCGAUUAGUUGAACAUUUAAUCAAAUAUCCCCAAGUUCUUCACAAACUCCAUUAAAUGAUCUUAUCACUGCAAAUCAGAUCACAAAAUUGAGAACCUUACAUUCAUAUAGCUAACUACCUACAUUUCCAUAUCUUUGAUAUCAUAUUGGUGUGUUGAGCAGAGCAAACAAAGGAUAUCACUGUUUGUUUCAAAAAAGAUAAGCUAUGCAAGCGAACUAAUCAAAAUUGUUAGAUUUUACAUGAACAAAUUGAAGGAAUCCAAGGGCAGGUCAACCAUGAGGAGUUACAUGGUGUGUUCCUAUGGCGUUGGAUUCGGCCCCCACAUGGGUCAGUUACAAAUAGACAUUCUUGUGGUUACACCUCCCUGCACAUAUAACAAAUUAUUCUGUACUGGUUCUUACUAACUGGACCAAAUUUCUUCACUUUCUUAUUAUUGCAAAUGAAUUACCAGCUAGUCCUUUCUGACCAAAUCUUGUUAGAAUAUAUCCAGAAGAUAUUGCCAAACCAUACAAAAGACUUUGAUAAAACACAUUUGAAUCAAAACAUCAUAAUUCAUUUCUAUUGGACGCCACAAGUCUUCUGACAGAACACUUUCAUGCACACUACCUUCAACAUGGAUUGCUCUACCCUUUAGCUUCAUUUACAAAAUGAAGUCAACUCUGAUAGAUUAAACAUGACAAUAUGCUAAUUCAAAUAUACUAAAAAGUUUUAACUUGAACCUUUUGAAAGAAUGCAUAGCAUCUCAUUUCGAUCAGUUUUAACCUGAACCUUUUGAAAGAAUGCAUAGCAUCUCAUUUGGAUCAGCCAGAAAGUUUAACUAGAGAACUUUUGAAUGUAUGCAUGCCAAAAAAUUGGAUCAACAAGGAGAACCACAGGAUUUUGAUUGGAUUGAAUUGAUCAACUAGAAAAUCAGAUAUCACGAUACCUUAUGUAGAUCCACCGGAUCAUGCCAGACUGGCAGCCCUCAUUUUUGGCAGAAGAUUCACCUAAGGAAAAUAUAUUCAAUUUAUCAUUAGAAGAAUAAUUUAAUAUAUAGCCGAGCCUGAACAAUGCAUAGGUCAGUCUAAAGGUGUUAACAAUGCACUAACAGGAAGUGCAUUGGGCAUGAGCACAAAAUGAGACACCAUAAUGCAAUCAUAAAUAUUAAUCAAACUGCAUUGUACACACAUAAAGACAGAAUUUUCACGAAUGCAUUUCAACGAACUAUGAGAUGCACCAAAUUAACUCCACAAAUUAUCAGAGGAACAAAAUAGCCAGCAUUGUUCAUGCAACUAUUUUCUAAAGUAAUACUUGUGAAUUGUGAUGAAGAAGGAACACAUAGCAAGACCUCAUAUGCCCAGCUGGUAGGAAAAUAUACAUGGCAACCUUAUACGGUAGAAAUUGUUUUGAUUCAAUACCUAGAUCAUGAGGGUUUUCUUCCUCUUCAUAAUUACCCUCAAAACAUAAUAAUGCUAAAGAAUAAACAAGCACGAUACCAAAGCUGGCACUGACCAACAAAAUGGCCUCCCAAAUGAUGCCAAUGAGACACAGUCAACCAGUGUGCCUAAGUUACCAAUGAUCAAACUCAGAAAAUUAAAAUAUUAGGAUCAUGGAGCUCACGAAUAGUGUGACCAGACAGCAUAUAUAUGAGUGAAUGGCCUCACCUAAUAUCUCAAAGGUUUUCGCCUACCGCAGUGAUGCUCUCACUAUCUCACAAAUGGUAAUUGAAUGGCCAAAAGCUGGUUUGUCCCUUCAAUUGAACAAAUAAGUCUCAAAUUAGUUCACCUUUUAGAUAUAUGGAAUCAGUGAUUGAUUAGUGAGAAAGAUAUACCUUGACUUACCAUAAGCAAACUGAAGCUAUAUUACAAUCUAGUGUGACCGACAAACAAGAAGCAGAUAAAAACUAAAGCAUCUAGUGUGAGAUGUAGAAAUUUUGAAGAUUACAACAUGAAUUAUUCAAACUAACUUGAACAGUAACACAAUUUAUCUCUGGCAUACAAUGUUAACCAAAAGAAAUUAAUUCAUGCCACCAUUACGAUCUUCAGUGCACAAGAUUGAUAGAGGCAAAGAUUCAGGUACAUCAUUACCCAAAUAACUUCCUUUGGUUUUGAACUGAUAUGUAUUUGGCUCCUCUCUGUGCUCUAUAAACAUAUCUAUUCAUUUCCUCUUCUUCUUUUCUCACUACCAAAUGGAUAUUUUCUAGAUGAUAUGACCAUGCCAUGUGCUUGAAAAAUAAAGAAAACAUAAUGACACAAUUCAGUGAGGUAGGGCAAAAUGUCUUAGCUAUAUACUAAAGUAUGAACUUCAAUGGGCACCUUGGUUCUAAUUGGCUGAUUCCCGAAUAGGUGAUUGGAUUGACUGAUUCCCUAGUCUCCUCCCCUUGCUGUACUCUCUAAAGAAAUAUAUAUGGUAGUAUAAUUAGGAUUAUACUGAUUAGAUCAGUUGAUCAAAGAAAGAAAGAGGUAAAGAUAUUGCCCAAAAUGCACGGAGUCACAUUCUCAAGGAUUGACAGAGGCAUCGUUGGUGAUUGUCUUCUCGGCUUCUUGUGAAUCGAAUCAAAUCAAAUCGAGCGGAUGUUUCUGGUGCUUACCCUACUUGCCAUGGAUCAAAUCAAGGGCUCAGCUUCAAGCACUCGCCGACGAAGUCGGAGCGGAGAGAGGGAGCGAGAGAAGAGUAGAAGCAAGGAAUGGCUGCUGGGAAGCAGCAGCAAGUUGCAGCAGCAGGGCAUGAUGGCGGCGGCAGAGCCAGGUGUGGCAUGGCGGCUGUGGCGGGUGGUAAGCGACGUGC
This 3039-nucleotide long non-coding RNA is filed under the name Setaria viridis. RNAcentral describes it as "long non-coding RNA (SVIR_LNC002758)". Lineage: Eukaryota; Viridiplantae; Streptophyta; Magnoliopsida; Poales; Poaceae. The record is from RNAcentral.